Molecule: transfer RNA, 72 nt
Filed under: Streptomyces sp. PTY087I2
Lineage: Bacteria; Bacillati; Actinomycetota; Actinomycetes; Kitasatosporales; Streptomycetaceae
Description: tRNA-Ala
Source: RNAcentral
GCGCGGCCGGGGUGUGGCACCCCGGGCGCUGGCGGCGCUCACCGACUGGGCGUUCGCGGCCUUCGCCGAGCA